UCCUACGGGGGGCAGCAGUAGGGAAUUUUCGUCAAUGGGCGCAAGCCUGAACGAGCAAUGCCGCGUGAACGAGGAAGGUCUUCGGAUCGUAAAGUUCUGUUGAAGGGGAAAAAGAGCGGAGAGAGGAAAUGGUCUCCGGUUGAUAUUACCCUUCGAGGAAGUCACGGCUAACUACGUGCCAGCAGCCGCGGUAAUACGUAGGUGGCGAGCGUUAUCUGGAAUGAUUGGGCGUAAAGGGUGCGUAGGCGGCCUGCUAAGUCUGGAGUGAAAGGUACCGGCUCAACCGGUACAGGCUCUGGAAACUG
This 305-nucleotide ribosomal RNA is filed under the name uncultured bacterium. Its description in RNAcentral is "bacterial SSU rRNA". It matches the Rfam family "Bacterial small subunit ribosomal RNA", at positions 337 to 635 of the family's 1533-position model. The record is from RNAcentral.